Molecule: ribosomal RNA, 468 nt
Filed under: uncultured bacterium
Lineage: Bacteria
Description: partial 16S ribosomal RNA
Rfam family: Bacterial small subunit ribosomal RNA
Source: RNAcentral
GACGAACGCUGGCGGCGUGCUUAACACAUGCAAGUCGAACGGAAGGGCCCUGCUUUUGUGGUGUGCUCGAGUGGCGAACGGGUGAGUAACACGUGAGUAACCGGCCCUUGACUUUGGGAUAACUUCAGGAAACUGGGGCUACUACAGGAUAGGAGAUCCUGCUGCAUGGUGGGGGGUGGAACGUUUCGGCGGUUGGGGAUGGACUCGCGGCUUAUCAGCUUGUUGGUGGGGUAGUGGAUUACCAAGGCUUUGACGGGUAGACGGCCUGUGAGGGUGACCGGCGGCAUAGGGACUGACGUGAGGCACAGACGCCUACUGGAGGCAGCAGUGGGGAAUAUUGCACAAGGGACGGAGCCCUGAUGCAGCAGCCCUGCGUGCUGUAUAACGGCCUUGUGGGGAAAAACCGGUUUCAGCUUUGACGAACCGUGUGUGGCGGGAAUGGGUAAAGAAACAACGGCUAACUACGUG